UACGGAGGAUCCAAGCGUUGUCCGGAUUUAUUGGGUUUAAAGGGUGCGUAGGCGGACUUAUAAGUCAGAGGUGAAAGCCGGUAGCUUAACUAUCGAAUUGCCUUUGAAACUGCAAGUCUUGAAUUUUGUUGAGGUAGGCGGAAUGUAUCAUGUAGCGGUGAAAUGCAUAGAUAUGAUACAGAACACCGAUUGCGAAGGCAGCUUACUAAGCAAAUAUUGACGCUGAGGCACGAAAGCGUGGGGAUCAAACAGG
This 253-nucleotide ribosomal RNA is filed under the name uncultured bacterium. RNAcentral's name for it is "partial 16S ribosomal RNA". It matches the Rfam family "Bacterial small subunit ribosomal RNA", at positions 524 to 776 of the family's 1533-position model. RNAcentral also lists the same sequence under 2 other names. The record is from RNAcentral.